This 1531-nucleotide long non-coding RNA is filed under the name Felis catus (domestic cat). RNAcentral describes it as "lncRNA (ENSFCAG00000050195.1)". Lineage: Eukaryota; Metazoa; Chordata; Mammalia; Carnivora; Felidae. The record is from RNAcentral.
UUUCUAGGAAGGUCUUCAGUAAACGAGUGACUGUAUUAUAGUCUUAAACAUUAGUCCUUUAAAAUAUUUUUGGUUUUGACUUUCACUGACUUGCUUCAUCUGGGCAAGGUGACUGGUUUUUCUAAGCCUCCUUUUCACGAAGCAAAAUUGAGUAUAGUUGAUGUAAUAGACUACAGUAACUAUUGUUAUUUGCCCAGCAAGAUUUCCCAACACCUUUCUUGGGUUAAUAUUUCCUGCCCCAGGAGUCCUUCCCUGGGAUACCUUGAUUUGCAGCCUAAGGAGGAACAGCGAUGCCCUCGAAGUCAGGUGCUAAAGGCGUAUGAAGGCGCCAAGUCCAUCUUCCCACUCUCUGAAUCUAGGUUGCACUGGCGGUUCUGCGUUGGCCGAUACGAUGUGGCAGAAGAGACAGUGUGCCAAUUUCAGCCCUUGUGUGUUUCUACUCGCUCUGUCGGGACUCCUGCCUCUGCCGUGUCAACAAGUCCGGGUGGGCUUGCCGGAGAACGUGAGACCGCGCGGACCAGGGCUGAGUCAGCUCAGCUGUCCCAGCAGAGGCUUCACACAUGUGGGAGAGCCCACCCCCCACCAGCAAAGCCGAUCUGUAGCCCCAGAUGCACGAAGGAACCCCACGGAAGAACCGCCACACAGAGCCCAGGCUGUGGCUCUAGGAACAGGAGCUACAUAAAAGCUGGCAUGAAGCAGCUGCAUUUUGAAGUUGUUUGCUAUACAAGAGCAAUGAUUGCUAACGGGUGUGAUAUAUUAUUUAUUAUUCAUAAUAAGAAGUAGUCAUAGCCACAAAGUCGGACUCCAAAAGCAGUUAAGAGCCUCAUCACCGCGAUCUCUAAGCAGAAGCUUUGUGGUUCCCAUACUGCGCCUGUGAAAUGAUCCUGAGUAGGAUUUUCAAUUCUACAAUUCUGAAGUUCUGCAUAAUGAUGGUUUUAUUUCUCUAUCAUUAAAAAAUUUUUUUUUAACAUUUAUUCAUUUUUGAGAGACAGAGACAGUGUGAGCAGGGGAGGAACAGAGAGAGAGGGAGACACAGAAUCUGAAGCAGGCUCCAAGCUGUCAGCACGGAGCCCGAUGUGGGGCUCGAACCCACAGACUGUGAGAUCAUGACCUGAGCCGUAGUCAGACGCUCAACCGACUGAGCCACCCAGGGGCCCCUCUCUAUCAUUUUGUAAAAGCAGUCUCCAUGCCCAACAUGGGGCUUGAGCUCACGACCCUGAGGUCAGGAGUCACAUGCUCUCCUAACCGAGCCAGCCAGGUGCCCUAUCAUUCUAGAUGCAGAUAAACACAUUUAAAAACAUAUUGGUCUAGGGGCACCUGGGUGGGUCAGUCGGUUGAGUGUCUGACUCUUGAUUUUGGCCCAGGUCAUGAUCUCACGGUCUUGGGAUCAAGCCCCACACCAGGAUCCACGCUUCACAUGGACCCUGCUUGAGAUACUCUCUCUCUCUCUCUCUCUCUGCCUUUCUCCCCUGCUUACGCACACACUGUCUCUCAAAAUAAAUUAAUAAAUAAAUAAAAAUUUUAAAAAACA